AAGAUCAAACUUCUAGGGAUCACUCCUAUAGUACGCAUCACCAGGACGUCAGUCAAAUCUGACCCUGGGCAGCCAACCAUGAUGACGAAAAGUGUCGGCCGUUCGUCAGCGUGAAACGGCUAUGGGCUGUCAGCUCGAUUUCCUCCUUCGUGGGGUGCCUGCUGACUUGGCUGAUAGUCUGGUUGAUCGCAUUGCCGGGGCCUGAACGUU
RNAcentral lists this small nucleolar RNA (210 nucleotides) under Schistocephalus solidus. RNAcentral describes it as "Small nucleolar RNA U3". It matches the Rfam family "Small nucleolar RNA U3". From Rfam's summary of the family: Small nucleolar RNAs (snoRNAs) are involved in the processing and modification of rRNA in the nucleolus. There are two main classes of snoRNAs: the box C/D class, and the box H/ACA class. U3 snoRNA is a member of the box C/D class. Lineage: Eukaryota; Metazoa; Platyhelminthes; Cestoda; Diphyllobothriidea; Diphyllobothriidae. The record is from Rfam by way of RNAcentral.